Molecule: long non-coding RNA, 435 nt
Organism: Zophobas morio
Lineage: Eukaryota; Metazoa; Arthropoda; Insecta; Coleoptera; Tenebrionidae
Exons: 2
Source: RefSeq, a predicted model, not a curated record
UUUGGAGUGGUUGGACACGUGAUGGGAUUAACAGAGAGCGGAGACGAGCGACAUGGAGCGAACGAGUGAUGGAUGAGUAAUGGAAUUUCGCAUUUACUUACUUCAGGUUUAAGGGUAUUUUUAGAAGCUACGUGGCUCUGCGUGGGAUUGCAGUGAGCAAAUGGGAUUAUCUCGGUAUUAAGAAAAUGACGUUGGGUAGGAUUUUGUCUGGACUUUAAUUGUGGACAGAUAAGCUGUAAUCAAGCUGACGACCUUACUUCGAGCAGACUGUCGUGAGAUAAGAAAUGGUACAAAUAUACUGUAGAAAGACUGGGCCGAAAAAUUACAAUGAAAAGUAAAUUUACUUGUUCAAACGUCAUUGUAAAUACGUUCGUUUUUAAACAAGCUUUUACCAAUAUUGCAACUGCUGUAAUCAAAAUCAGUUUUCAAGUCAAA